Molecule: ribosomal RNA, 535 nt
Filed under: Oxalobacteraceae sp. CFBP 8761
Lineage: Bacteria; Pseudomonadati; Pseudomonadota; Betaproteobacteria; Burkholderiales; Oxalobacteraceae
Description: bacterial SSU rRNA
Rfam family: Bacterial small subunit ribosomal RNA
Source: RNAcentral
CCGAAGAGAUUUGGCUGUGCUCGAAAGAGAACCGUAACACAGGUGCUGCAUGGCUGUCGUCAGCUCGUGUCGUGAGAUGUUGGGUUAAGUCCCGCAACGAGCGCAACCCUUGUCAUUAGUUGCUACAUUCAGUUGAGCACUCUAAUGAGACUGCCGGUGACAAACCGGAGGAAGGUGGGGAUGACGUCAAGUCCUCAUGGCCCUUAUGGGUAGGGCUUCACACGUCAUACAAUGGUACAUACAGAGGGCCGCCAACCCGCGAGGGGGAGCUAAUCCCAGAAAGUGUAUCGUAGUCCGGAUCGCAGUCUGCAACUCGACUGCGUGAAGUUGGAAUCGCUAGUAAUCGCGGAUCAGCAUGUCGCGGUGAAUACGUUCCCGGGUCUUGUACACACCGCCCGUCACACCAUGGGAGCGGGUUUUACCAGAAGUAGGUAGCUUAACCGCAAGGAGGGCGCUUACCACGGUAGGAUUCGUGACUGGGGUGAAGUCGUAACAAGGUAGCCGUAUCGGAAGGUGCGGCUGGAUCACCUCCUUU